RNAcentral lists this non-coding RNA (949 nucleotides) under Eleutherodactylus thorectes (Morne Macay robber frog). RNAcentral's name for it is "12S ribosomal RNA". It matches the Rfam family "Bacterial small subunit ribosomal RNA". Lineage: Eukaryota; Metazoa; Chordata; Amphibia; Anura; Eleutherodactylidae. The record is from RNAcentral.
CACAAAGGUUUGGUCCUAGCCCUAUAGUCAGUUUUUACUCGACCUACACAUGCAAGUCUCCGCAUCCCUGUGAAAACGCCCUUAAAUCCUACUGGACUAAAGGAGCAGGUAUCAGGCGCAAUUAUCCGCCCAAGACACCUAGCCAUGCCACACCCACAAGGGUCCUCAGCAGUGACUAACAUUGAAUAUAAACGACAGCUUGAUUCAGUUAAAGUAAAUAGAGCCGGCAAAUCCGGUGCCAGCCGCCGCGGCUACACCAGAGACUCAAAUUGACUAUCAUCGACGUAAAGCGUGAUUAAAGAUAUACUAAACUAGAGCUAAACUCAGAUUAAACCGUGAAACAUUUAUCUGAGAGAAACCCAUAAAACGAAAGUCGCUCUACUUACCCCAACUUGAACACACGAGAGCGGGAAUACAAACUGGGAUUAGAUACCCCACUAUGCCCGACUGUAAACUUUAACCUACACCUUGAUCGUCUGGGAAUUACGAGCAAAGCUUAAAACCCAAAGGACUUGACGGUGCCCCAUAUCCCCCUAGAGGAGCCUGUCCUAUAAUCGAUAAUCCCCGUUCAACCUCACCAUACCUAGCUUUUCAGCCUGUAUACUUCCGUCGUCAGCCUACCACGUGAGCGAUGCUUAGUUAGCCCAAUGUCCGCACAUUUAUGUGCUCAUGUCGUCAAUACGUCAGGUCAAAGUGCAGCAAAUGUUAUGGAAAGAGAUGGGCUACACUUUUUAAUAUAAAAGAAACGAAAAACAAAAUGAAACUUUGUUAUGAAGGUGGAUUUAGAAGUAAAAGGAAAACAUUAAGUCCCUUUUAACCCGGCACUGGGGUGUGUACACACCGCCCGUCACCCUCCUCAAAAAUCUAAUUCUAGUACUUAACCAACUAUUUUAAAUAAAGAAGAGGCAAGUCGUAACAUGGUAAGCGUACCGGAAGGUGUGCUUGGAUA